RNAcentral lists this ribosomal RNA (254 nucleotides) under uncultured bacterium. Its description in RNAcentral is "partial 16S ribosomal RNA". It matches the Rfam family "Bacterial small subunit ribosomal RNA", at positions 524 to 776 of the family's 1533-position model. The record is from RNAcentral.
UACGAAGGGUGCAAACGUUGCUCGGAAUUACUGGGCGUAAAGAGCGCGUAGGCGGCGCGGUACGACCGCUGUGAAAGCCCCCAGCUCAACUGGGGAGGGUCAGCGGUAACGGCCGUGCUAUGAGUGCAGGAGAGGGAAGUGGAACUCCGGGAGUAGCGGUGAAAUGCGUAGAGACCCGGAGGAACACCAGUGGCGAAGGCGGCUUCCUGGUCUGCGACUGACGCUGUGGCGCGAAAGCUAGGGGAGCAAACGGG